RNAcentral lists this ribosomal RNA (583 nucleotides) under uncultured bacterium. RNAcentral's name for it is "partial 16S ribosomal RNA". It matches the Rfam family "Bacterial small subunit ribosomal RNA", at positions 355 to 1375 of the family's 1533-position model. The record is from RNAcentral.
UGGGGAAUUUUGGACAAUGGGCGAAAGCCUGAUCCAGCAAUGCCGCGUGUGUGAAGAAGGCCUUCGGGUUGUAAAGCACUUUUGUCCGGAAAGAAAUCCUUGGCUCUAAUACAGUCGGGGGAUGACGGUACCGGAAGAAUAAGCACCGGCUAACUACGUGCCAGCAGCCGCGGUAAUACGUAGGGUGCAAGCGUUAAUCGGAAUUACUGGGCGUAAAGCGUGCGCAGGCGGUUUGCUAAGACCGAUGUGAAAUCCCCGGGCUCAACCUGGGAACUGCAUUGGUGACUGGCAGGCUAGAGUAUGGCAGAGGGGGGUAGAAUUCCACGUGUAGCAGUGAAAUGCGUAGAGAUGUGGAGGAAUACCGAUGGCGAAGGCAGCCCCCCUGGGCCAAUACUGACGCUCAUGCACGAAAGCGUGGGGAGCAAACAGGAUUAGAUACCCUGGUAGUCCACGCCCUAAACGAUGUCAACUAGUUGUUGGGGAUUCAUUUCCUUAGUACGUAGCUAACGCGUGAAGUUGACCGCCUGGGGAGUACGGUCGCAAGAUUAAACUUAAUGAAUUGACGGGGUCAUAGCUGUUUCCU